CGACCGGCGCACGGGUGAGUAACGCGUAUCCAACCUGCCUUACACUCUUGGACAGCCUUCUGAAAGGGAGAUUAAUACAAGAUGUUAUCAUGAGUAAGCAUUUUCACAUGAUUAAAGGUUUACCGGUGUAAGAUGGGGAUGCGUUCCAUUAGAUAGUAGGCGGGGUAACGGCCCACCUAGUCUUCGAUGGAUAGGGGUUCUGAGAGGAAGGUCCCCCACAUUGGUACUGAGACACGGACCAA
RNAcentral lists this ribosomal RNA (242 nucleotides) under uncultured bacterium. RNAcentral describes it as "partial 16S ribosomal RNA". It matches the Rfam family "Bacterial small subunit ribosomal RNA", at positions 92 to 334 of the family's 1533-position model. The record is from RNAcentral.